Long non-coding RNA from Caretta caretta (loggerhead turtle), 768 nucleotides. RefSeq lists it as uncharacterized. The record is from RefSeq and is a predicted model, not a curated record. Lineage: Eukaryota; Metazoa; Chordata; Testudines; Cheloniidae.
AUAAGAAUUGUGUUGAAGUUGCUGAUACAUGCAUCUUAGAAGAGCAGGAUGUGCCCCAGGAAUGUCUAUUGGGGCCUCAAGGCUGCAAACUCUGGAAAAACCCAUACCUGGUUAAUCGAUAAUCAGAAGGAACCUCUCACUUGACCAUUGAAACUGCUUACUUAACAAAUUUGCUUUAAGCUACAUGUCAUUCUAUUACUAAUGUAUAAAUAAGGGGAAAAAGUUUGAGGUAGGGAAACUCUUCAGGACUGGACUCUCCCUCUGGAUGCAUCUUGUGUUCCCCACUAGCAGACGGGCUGCUGCUGUACCACUCGAGAGCCACACUCAGCUUUGAUUUGAAAACCAGGAGGCUGAAGAGAAAAGGAGAAGCUUUGGACACUGGAGGUUCCAACUUAGGUCAUGCAGCAGUAAGGAGGACUGAAAAGGUGGUCUGUUCACUCUACCCCUCAUACCUUCGGUACAAAGCAUGAGGAGAGUACCAGCUCAGGCACAGACCAAUGGACCAUACUUUCAAGAGUUCUGUGGUCUCAGGCACACAGAGCACCUGUGUAUCCACAGUGGAAUACAGACCGGGACCAACACUCAAAGAAGAAUGUAGUGUAUUCUGGAUAACUUGUUUGAAAUAGGAGGGUUUCCAAUGCAUUCAGAAACAUGAACUGGCUUUCUUUGUACUAGAAGUUUCAAAAAUUUGAGCUUAAAAAAAGUUGGUUUGGAUGGUUUAUGAGCUGGAUUGUUUAUGAGAAUAAAAUUGAUUAGGUCAAUAUUUCA